UACGUAGGGGGCAAGCGUUGUCCGGAGUCAUUGGGCGUAAAGCGCGUGUAGGCGGCCCGGUAAGUCCGCUGUGAAAGUCCAGGGCUCAACCCUGGGAUGCCGGUGGAUACUGUCGGGCUCGAGUCCGGAAGAGGCGAGUGGAAUUCCUGGUGUAGCGGUGAAAUGCGCAGAUAUCAGGAGGAACACCGAUGGCGAAGGCAGCUCGCUGGGACGUGACUGACGCUGAGACGCGAAAGCGUGGGGAGCAAACAGG
Molecule: ribosomal RNA, 253 nt
Filed under: uncultured bacterium
Lineage: Bacteria
Description: partial 16S ribosomal RNA
Rfam family: Bacterial small subunit ribosomal RNA
Source: RNAcentral